AACUAAAUGUUCUCAUGCAUAUUUACCAGUCCAUUUGUCAUCAUUUGCCACGUAAUGACGCCCAUUGUUGAAGCAAGCCACUUAGCCAGGAAUUCUAAGCUGUCAUCAAUCCUACAGCUGUACUGUAGUAUGCCUGUAGUAGAAAUGGAAUCACAAAUUUCAAUAUCACAGAAAUCUUACUAAUUUUCUUAUCUUGUCUUCCAGAUGCAUGUUUUGUAGAUGGUGAAUCUCAAGUGAAACUAAGAACUUUCAGUCGUCAUUACAUAUAAUUGACUAUCGUUUCCAAUUUUGAUAAUGUUUAAUAAUCCUUUCAGUUUAAUCUUUCAACGUUGUGCCAUAGACCUUGUCCACUGGUGGAAUAGGAUUAUUAUGGCGAGAUAUGUUGAACUUGUUCCAGGUUAAUCUUUCGCCAUUUUGAAACGAUGUGAAGCACUUGAAAUGAAAGAUUAACAGAAGGCGUUAGUUUAUUUUUGCAAAAAUUGUGUCAGACGACUAAAUCAAUUUUUAAUUCAACAAUCUCAUGCAUCUACAAGUUUACUGAUGCAUAUCGUGAUUCUUAAUCAUUAGGCACAUUUUGGCGAGAAUAAACGUAAUUUAAAUAAUU
RNAcentral lists this long non-coding RNA (604 nucleotides) under Daphnia pulicaria. RNAcentral's name for it is "uncharacterized LOC124313611, transcript variant X2". Lineage: Eukaryota; Metazoa; Arthropoda; Branchiopoda; Diplostraca; Daphniidae. The record is from RNAcentral.